CCCUUAGAUGUUCUGGGCCGCACGCGCGCUACACUGACGCAUUCAACGAGUCUCCUUGGCCGAGAGGCCUGGGUAAUCUUGUGAACGUGCGUCGUGAUAGGGAUAGAUUAUUGCAAUUAUUAAUCUUGAACGAGGAAUUCCUAGUAAACGCAGAUCAUCAAUCUGCAUUGAUUACGUCCCUGCCCUUUGUACACACCGCCCGUCGCACCUACCGAUUGGAUGGUCCGGUGAGGCCUCGGGAUUGUGGCCGGUGCAUUCAUUUGCGUCGGUUGCGAGAACUUGUCCAAACCUUAUCAUCUAGAGGAAGGUGAAGUCGUAACA
This 321-nucleotide ribosomal RNA is filed under the name uncultured eukaryote. Its description in RNAcentral is "partial 18S ribosomal RNA". It matches the Rfam family "Eukaryotic small subunit ribosomal RNA", at positions 1470 to 1796 of the family's 1831-position model. The record is from RNAcentral.